This 315-nucleotide ribosomal RNA is filed under the name uncultured eukaryote. Its description in RNAcentral is "partial 18S ribosomal RNA". It matches the Rfam family "Eukaryotic small subunit ribosomal RNA", at positions 1470 to 1796 of the family's 1831-position model. The record is from RNAcentral.
CCCUUAGAUGUUCUGGGCUGCACGCGCGCUACACUGACGCACGCAACAGGUGCCUACUCCGAGAGGACUGGGUAAUCAUUUGAGUGUGCGUCGUGAUGGGGAUAGAAUAUUGUAAUUAUUACUCUUCAACGAGGAAUUCCUAGUAAGCGCCAGUCAGCAGCUUGCGCUGAUUACGUCCCUGCCCUUUGUACACACCGCCCGUCGCUCCUACCGAUGGGUGAUCCGGUGAAUGAUUCGGACUUCAGCGGCUCCCCUGGGGUGCGCCGGAGAAAGUUUUGUGAACCUUAUCACUUGGAGGAAGGAGAAGUCGUAACA